AGCGAACGCUGGCGGCAGGCUUAACACAUGCAAGUCGAGCGCCCCGCAAGGGGAGCGGCAGACGGGUGAGUAACACGUGGGAACGUACCCUUUGGUUCGGAACAACCCAGGGAAACUUGUGCUAAUACCGGAUAAGUCCGCGAGGAGAAAGAUUUAUCGCCGAAGGAUCGGCCCGCGUCUGAUUAGCUAGUUGGUGUGGUAACGGCGCACCAAGGCGACGAUCAGUAGCUGGUCUGAGAGGAUGAUCAGCCACACUGGGACUGAGACACGGCCCAGACUCCUACGGGAGGCAGCAGUGGGGAAUAUUGGACAAUGGGGGCAGCCCUGAUCCAGCCAUGCCGCGUGAGUGAUGAAGGCCCUAGGGUUGUAAAGCUCUUUCGGUGGGGAAGAUAAUGACGGUACCCACAGAAGAAGCCCCGGCUAACUUCGUG
RNAcentral lists this ribosomal RNA (431 nucleotides) under uncultured bacterium. Its description in RNAcentral is "partial 16S ribosomal RNA". It matches the Rfam family "Bacterial small subunit ribosomal RNA", at positions 29 to 507 of the family's 1533-position model. The record is from RNAcentral.